CGGGCUUAAUUUUCUGAAACAAUAACGUGAGAUAAAUGGACAACUUCUGCCUAUAAAAUGGGAGAGUUUGUCCUGGCUUGUAUUAUCUAGAAUAAAUUUUCAGGUUGGAUUCAAAAUUCCUAUUCCGACCAAUUUCAAUAAGAAAACAAAAACAAAAAUGGCAAAGUCUGUUGGUUCCAGUACCACAAUUGUUCUACUCAUUGCUUUCCUUCUCAUUGCUUCCUUGGCGGUGCCAGUGGUAGAAGCAAAAGGAGGAAGGGGAUGCAAGCAGGCGAGCAAGUUGUUUCCAGGCCCCUGUAAAGACCACUCAGAAUGUAACAAAAAAUGCAGAGAAGCAGAGAAGGCAAAAUCGGGUCUUUGCCGAUCUGAGGGGACCAAAGGCAAAAAAUGCUUUUGCUACAUGUGCUAAUUAUUCUUACAAGAUAGCAUUGCUCUGUGGGGGCUUGGAACUCUUGAUUCAUUGAGAGCAUUUUUCACUUCACUCACGGCCUAAAUUCGAAUCUCCACUCUCCCUUUACCUUGUUUGUAACUUCAGAAACAAAAAGUUUACUGGAUGUUUGUGUAAUUUGAUUCAUAAAAUACUUUUGAAGUUACUGAUCAAGAAAUACAAAUUUAAACAAUAAUAUUCAUUCAUGUAA
Molecule: long non-coding RNA, 638 nt
Organism: Prunus mume (Japanese apricot)
Lineage: Eukaryota; Viridiplantae; Streptophyta; Magnoliopsida; Rosales; Rosaceae
Source: RefSeq, a predicted model, not a curated record